UACGUAGGGUGCGAGCGUUGUCCGGAAUUAUUGGGCGUAAAGGGCUCGUAGGUGGUUUGUCGCGUUGUUCGUGAAAACUCACAGCUUAACUGUGGGCGUGCGGGCGAUACGGGCAGACUGGAGUACUGCAGGGGAGACUGGAAUUCCUGGUGUAGCGGUGGAAUGCGCAGAUAUCAGGAGGAACACCGGUGGCGAAGGCGGGUCUCUGGGCAGUAACUGACGCUGAGGAGCGAAAGCGUGGGGAGCGAACAGG
RNAcentral lists this ribosomal RNA (253 nucleotides) under uncultured bacterium. Its description in RNAcentral is "partial 16S ribosomal RNA". It matches the Rfam family "Bacterial small subunit ribosomal RNA", at positions 524 to 776 of the family's 1533-position model. The record is from RNAcentral.